RNAcentral lists this long non-coding RNA (2186 nucleotides) under Volvox carteri. RNAcentral's name for it is "long non-coding RNA (VCAR_LNC003877)". Lineage: Eukaryota; Viridiplantae; Chlorophyta; Chlorophyceae; Chlamydomonadales; Volvocaceae. The record is from RNAcentral.
AGGAGCAUCCAUACGCGCACGCAAUUAGACCACCCUCCGUGAGAUGCCUCGGUAGCUGUGAGGCAGGUGGGGACGUGCCUGGAGGCUGAAAGGGCUUCCGGACGCAUAAAUCGCAUCAGGCGCCGUCGUACACCGGACCAACGAUGCAUCAUAACAUCAACUAGUUGCUAGAAAGGCAGCGGGGAAAGGAGCAUCCAUACGCGCACGCAAUUGGAACCCCGCCGUGAGAUGCGUCGGUGGCUGUGAGGCAGGUGGGGACAUGCCUGGAGGCUGAAAGGGCUUCCGGACGCAUACAUCGCAUCAGGCGCCGUCGUACACCGGACCAACGAUGCAUCAUAACAUCAACUAGUUACUAGAAAGGCGGCAGGAAAGGAGCAUCCAUACGCGGACGCAAUUGGAACCCCGCCGUGAGAUGCGUCGGUGGCUGUGAGGCAGGUGGGGACAUGCCUGGAGGCUGAAAGGGCUUCCGGACGCAUAAAUCGCAUCAGGCGCCGUCGUACACCGGACCAACGAUGCAUCAUAACAUCAACUAGUUGCUAGAAAGGCGGCGGGGAAAGUAGCAUCCAUACGCGCACGCAAUUAGACCCCCGCCGUGAGAUGCCUCGGUAGCUGUGAGGCAGGUGGGGACAUGCCUGGAGGCUGAAAGGGCUUCCGGACGCAUAAAUCGCAUCAGACGCCGUCGUACGCCGGACCAACGAUGCAUCAUAACAUCAACUAGUUCCUGGAAAGGCGGCAGGAAAGGAGCAUCCAUACGCGCACGCAAUUGGAACCCCGCCGUGAGAUGCGUCGGUGGCUGUGAGGCAGGUGGGGACAUGCCUGGAGGCUGAAAGGGCUUCCGGACGCAUAAAUCGCAUCAGGCGCCAUCGUACACCGGACCGACGAUGCAUCAUAACAUCAAAUAGUUGCUAGAAAGGCGGCGGGGAAAGGAGCAUCCAUACGCGCACGCAAUUAGACCCCCGCCGUGAGAUGCCUCGGUCGCUGUGAGGCAGGUGGGGACAUGCCUGGAGGCUGAAAGGGCUUCCGGACGCAUAAAUCGCAUCAGGCGCCGUCGUACACCGGACCAACGAUGCAUCAUAACAUCAACUAGUUGCUAGAAAGGCGGCGGGGAAAGGAGCAUCCAUACGCGCACGCAAUUGGAACCCCGCCGUGAGAUGCGUCGGUGGCUGUGAGGCAGGUGGGGACAUGCCUGGAGGCUGAAAGGGCUUCCGGACGCAUAAAUCGCAUCAGGCGCCGUCGUACACCGGACCAACGAUGCAUCAUAACAUCAACUAGUUGCUAGAAAGGCGGCGGGGAAAGGAGCAUCCAUACGCGCACGCAAUUGGAACCCCGCCGUGAGAUGCGUCGGUGGCUGUGAGGCAGGUGGGGACAUGCCUGGAGGCUGAAAGGGCUUCCGGACGCAUAAAUCGCAUCAGGCGCCGUCGUACGCCGGACCAACGAUGCAUCAUAACAUCAACUAGUUGCUAGAAAGGCGGCGGGGAAAGGAGCAUCCAUACGCGCACGCAAUUGGAACCCCGCCGUGAGAUGCGUCGGUGGCUGUGAGGCAGGUGGGGACAUGCCUGGAGGCUGAAAGGGCUUCCGGACGCAUAAAUCGCAUCAGGCGCCGUCGUACACCGGACCAACGAUGCAUCAUAACAUCAACUAGUUGCUAGAAAGGCGGCGGGGAAAGGAGCAUCCAUACGCGCACGCAAUUGGACCCCCGCCGUGAGAUGCGUCGGUGGCUGUGAGGCAGGUGGGGACAUGCCUGGAGGCUGAAAGGGCUUCCGGACGCAUAAAUCGCAUCAGGCGCCGUCGUACACCGGACCAACGAUGCAUCAUAACAUCAACUAGUUGCUAGAAAGGCGGCGGCGAAAGGAGCAUCCAUACGCGCACGCAAUUGGAACCCCGCCGUGAGAUGCGUCGGUGGCUGUGAGGCAGGUGGGGACAUGCCUGGAGGCUGAAAGGGCUUCCGGACGCAUAAAUCGCAUCAGGCGCCGUCGUACACCGGACCAACGAUGCAUCAUAACAUCAACUAGUUGCUGGAAAGGCGGCGGAAAGGAGCAUCCAUACGCGCACGCAAUUGGAACCCCGCCGUGAGAUGCGUCGGUGGCUGUGAGGCAGGUGGGGACAUGCCUGGAGGCUGAAAGGGCUUCCGGACGCAUAAAUCGCAUCAGGCGCCGUCGUACGCCGGACCAACGAUGCAUCAUAAC